RNAcentral lists this microRNA precursor (203 nucleotides) under Oryza nivara. Its description in RNAcentral is "MIR812 microRNA precursor family". It matches the Rfam family "MIR812 microRNA precursor family". The record is from Rfam by way of RNAcentral. Lineage: Eukaryota; Viridiplantae; Streptophyta; Magnoliopsida; Poales; Poaceae.
AAAAAGACAAACCUGGUUUCUGUGUCCAACGUUUGACCGUCCGUCUUAUUUGAAAAAGUUAUGAAAAAAAUAAAAAGACAAGUCACACAUAAAAUAUUAAUCAUGUUUUAUAAUCUAACAAUAAUAAAAAUACAAAUUAUAAAAAAAUUUCAUAUAAAACGGACAGUUAAAGUUGGACACGAAAAUCCAGAGUUUGCCUUUUU